CAGGCAAUGAUGAUUUUCACUUACAUAGAGUACUAAUUUGAUUAAGGAAAAAUCAUGUUCAUUCAUAAUUUUCAUUUUAAAAGUGUAUUCAUUCCUUCUGCAAAUCCAUACUGUCAUGCCUAUUCCCCAAUAUCGUCAACGCGGAUAGUUCGUUAGUCGAAAAUACUGAAUAAUUAAACAAACCAAAUGGCAUCACUGGUGGUUCUUUUUUCCACUCCGCUAAACUGUCAUCUCAAACAAAAACAAAUGGAUCAUACAACUGCUAUGAAUACAUUCGACUCGUUUGCUUCCAUCAAUCGCAGCCAACAACAUCCGUUUUCCUGCAGCAGUAACCUCCAACCCCUGUUGGCAAUGCCGGCGGACAGCAUCAACAGCAGCAGCAGCAGAAUUUGACCAUGGUAUGGUAUUGCGAAGAACUUUCCCCAUUUACCCAUUCCGUGCUUCGCGCACAUUCAAAAAUCCUCUUCAGACACGAAAACUCAACGACAAGGAGGUAUUUAUCAACUUGCUCAGCUGAAUUACCACCCCGGAGGAACCCGAAUGCACUGAUUCCGUAGUAUAGUAGAAUGAAAAUAGGCGAGGUAAGCGAACGCAAUCGCAUGAAAUUUUAAUGUUCGCAUUUUUAUCCGGAUCAUACAACUGCUAUGAAUACAUCCGACUCAAUCAAUCGGCGAGUGAGAAAGAUGAUUUCCCUCAUCACCACAUUGUUUAUUUCCUCUUCUGUCACACCAGCCAACAGCAUCAGCUUUCCCGCAGCAGUAUCCUUUAAGGUGCUAUCCAGGGUGCUAUUCCGGGGAACAGCAUCAACAGCAACAGCAGCAGAACCUGGCCAUCGAUAGUAUUUCGAGCAAUUUUCCCCAUCGGAGAUCCCGUGCUUCACGCACAUUGAAGAAUCCUCAGCCACAUAUCUGUGUCAUCAAGGGCAAGGAGGUAUUCAUCAAUGUACUCAGUCGGAUUUGAAUCGUCAAUCCAGACAACCCGGGUGCACCGAUUCCAUUAUAUACAUUAUUAUUUUUAUUAUA
Toxorhynchites rutilus septentrionalis is the source of this 1022-nucleotide long non-coding RNA. RefSeq lists it as uncharacterized. The record is from RefSeq and is a predicted model, not a curated record. The transcript is spliced from 4 exons. Lineage: Eukaryota; Metazoa; Arthropoda; Insecta; Diptera; Culicidae.